This 326-nucleotide ribosomal RNA is filed under the name Clostridioides difficile. RNAcentral describes it as "bacterial LSU rRNA". It matches the Rfam family "Bacterial large subunit ribosomal RNA", at positions 2429 to 2754 of the family's 2925-position model. Lineage: Bacteria; Bacillati; Bacillota; Clostridia; Peptostreptococcales; Peptostreptococcaceae. The record is from RNAcentral.
CUGCGUGGAAGGGCCAUCGCUCAACGGAUAAAAGCUACCCUGGGGAUAACAGGCUUAUCUCCCCCAAGAGUCCACAUCGACGGGGAGGUUUGGCACCUCGAUGUCGGCUCAUCACAUCCUGGGGCUGCAGUAGGUCCCAAGGGUUGGGCUGUUCGCCCAUUAAAGUGGUACGCGAGCUGGGUUCAGCACGUCGUGAGACAGUUCGGUCCCUAUCCGUCGCAGGCGUAGGAAAUUUGAGAAGACCUGUCCUUAGUACGAGAGGACCGGGAUGGACGUACCUCUGGUGUACCAGUUGUCCUGCCAAGGGCAUGGCUGGGUAGCUAUGU